Thalassophryne amazonica is the source of this 152-nucleotide long non-coding RNA. RefSeq lists it as uncharacterized. NCBI's taxonomy places the organism in Eukaryota, Metazoa, Chordata, Actinopteri, Batrachoidiformes, Batrachoididae. The record is from RefSeq and is a predicted model, not a curated record. The transcript is spliced from 3 exons.
AGUGGAGGAAGUGUAAAUAGUGUAAAAGUGAACAACUUGUGUGAUAUUACAGAAAAGAAUUCAUCUAUAACCUCCCAAAAAGUUAACUUUUUCAGCUGCCUUCAGAACCAGGGCUUCCUGUGCAAAAUGCUAAAACUCUGUUACAUUUCAGU